This is an RNA transcript of Paramisgurnus dabryanus, 2471 nucleotides long. It is a transcript of the gene named nudix (nucleoside diphosphate linked moiety X)-type motif 17, with no coding region annotated. Lineage: Eukaryota; Metazoa; Chordata; Actinopteri; Cypriniformes; Cobitidae. The record is from RefSeq and is a predicted model, not a curated record.
GCCAUUUUCCUCUUAAGACUUUCUGAAAUAAGUGUACAUAAAUAUUUCAUUGUUUAAUAGUAAAGCUUGGACAAAUAAAACAGACUUUUAUUUUGAAAUACUAGAAGCCUUAUUUCGAGUGCUUGAAGAUACAUUGCGCCAAACUACAAGAUUUGCAUUAAUGCAUGUAAAUAAAUAAAAUAUAUGGCCAUAAUAAUGUAUAAAUAUUACAUAGUAUUCAUGUGACGAGACGUAGCAGGAGAUAUAUCAAAUAACGCGAAGCCUUAAUGUAAGACUUUUAUCUUGAAACACGUGAGGCCAUUUUCCGGCGGUGUUUUUGGGGAAUCUAACGAGUGCUCAUGUGAACUGUCAUUCUCAUAGACAUAAACAGUAUCAUCUAAAUUAAUUUACCUGAUUAACAUAACUGCAUUAUAAAAAGUAGAAAUAAUGUGCAUUAAUAUUAUACAUAUUAAUGCACGAAUGAAUGUUUGUUGUCAUAAAAACGCAUGAGUGAUUGAAGUUAGUUGUUAUAUUUUGUAACGAGGUAACGUUACGAUAAAGUAUGGAGAAGGUCCGAAGGAUUCUGGUGUAUUUGUCGAAGGAAAACGCCGCACCGCAGUGCGCACGAUUCGUGCAGAGCAUAACUGGACAUUUUGUAGGGGAUGUUGAGGACCAGGCGACAGUGAGCUGUUCCCUGGACAAUAACCGAUUUAUUUUAAGUGACCAGCUGUAUGGAGGAAUCCCUCUGAAGAGGGCGCCAUUUUGCCCCAUCAAAUACCUGUCUCACUCAGAGGCAGCCUCCCUGCCCCCAGAUACCCUCAAUCGUGGGGUAGACGUGGGCGUUGCAGUUCUGCUGCAGUCAGCCAAUCAGAGGCUGUUGCUAACGCGUCGAGCCUCCAGUCUUCGGAUCUUCCCCAAUGUUUGGGUUCCACCUGGUGGCCAUGUGGAGCUGGAUGAAAAGCUGCUGGAUGCAGGACUCAGAGAGCUACAAGAAGAGACCGGUCUGAAACUGAGUCCUGAUCAGAUUUCCACUCAGCUUCUUGGCUUGUGGGAGUCAGUGUAUCCACCUAUGUUGUCCAGAGGUUUGCCACAGAGACAUCACAUUGUGACCUACAUACUUUUGAAGAGCUCUAUAUCGCACCUGCAGCUUCAGGCCAGUUUGAGACCAGAUCCUGCUGAGGUUAGUGGUUGUGUUUGGGUUGAUGCUGGUCUGGUUAAAGCCAUAGUAUCUGCUGUGGACGGUGAAGAGAAUUCUGUACAAGUACCGGCUGACAUGCCAUCUACCAUCAGUGUAACGGAAGUGUCAAUACGAGGUGAUUUGGAAGAGACCUCGCAGCCCAUUUCUGUGUUCUGUAAUCAGGCUCCAGACCACGGCGAGGAAAUAGAGCGAGUCAGUACAGGAACCAAAUAUGCCUUAGAGCUGUGGUUAAAAACGUUGGAGCCUCACACUGAGAUGGGCUGAUGGCUCCUGUCUCAUGUGAACAUUUACCCAGUGCCUUCAGAAGACUGGAGCUUUGUCAGCAUUGCACGGCCCUUUUCGUUUAUGUCUUAAGUCGGCAUUUAAAUCAAAUUGUUUUCAUCAAAACAGUUGUUGCAAAAAUCAUCCUUGGAAUUUCUUUAUAAUUAUAAAGGAAACAAUGUCUCCGUCGAUCACAAGAGGGCGUUUUAGUCACAGUGUUCCCUAUGCAAAACCAAAAAAAUGAAAGUUUGUUUAAAAUGUUGGUUCACAUUAAACUUGUAUGAAUACACUUUUUAUGUGUUUCCCCACUUUAAAAAGUUUUACAUAGUUUUUUUAAACAGGUGAACAGAUGUUUUGACAAAUGCUUAGAAUGAUGUACACUGAAUUAAUAUGGUUAUCUAAAAGUUACUCUAAGACAAUUUUGGUUGCAGAAUAAAUGAACUAUGGGUAACAAAUACACCUGUUUUACUUCAUUAGUUACUGUUAUUUGUCAAACACAACAGAGACCACUGACUUGGCCCACCUAAACACAUCUCAGUGUGUUUUGGCAGCAGAAGUUAUUCCUUGCUUCAUUUUCAUCCUUAUUCUUACUCUACACAUAUUUUUAGGGCUGCUUGUUCACAAAAAUACUAAUAGCUCAUUAACUUCCUAAAUAAUAAUAAGUUCUGACAUUAUUAUUUGUUAAAACAUUAAUAGUAACUUACUAGAUGUACUUAAUAAUCCAUGCCAAGAUGGUUAUUUGCCUUUGUCACAUCUGUUGACAAAUUAUUUUUCUAUUGCUCAGGAACACUUGUAUUCAGCCAGGGAUUUUUUUGGGGGAUGCUUGAGUGUUUUAUUGUUGCUUUCUGGUCUAAGUUGUACGAGCCUGACUCAAAGUACUAUCAUAAUCUAGUCCAGGGGUUUUCAAACUGUGGGUUGGGACCCAGUAGUGGGUUGCACAGUGCGGUCAGGUGGGUCUCGCAAACUUACUUGGUUGUUGUAGUGAAUGAAACAAAAACAUUUUUGUUUUAUUAAUGACAGUUAAUGGCAAUGG